CGAGUGAAGCGGCAAAAGCUCAAAUUUGAAAUCCUCAGGGAAUUGUAAUUUGAAGGUGGUCUCAGUUAGUUCAAACAUUCUUAAGUCCAUUGGAAAAUGGCGCCAUGGAGGGUGAUAGCCCCGUAAAGAAUCCGUUUGCUCUAUUUUCUUUGACCACCAAAGAGUCGAGUUGUUUGGGAAUGCAGCUCUAAGUGGGUGGUAAAUUCCAUCUAAAGCUAAAUAUUGGCGAGAGACCGAUAGCGAACAAGUACAGUGAUGGAAAGAUGAAAAGCACUUUGAAAAGAGAGUGAAAAAGUACGUGAAAUUGUUGAAAGGGAAGGGCUUGCAAGCAGACACAACCUUUUGGUUGGGCCAGCAUCGGGGCGAGGGGAAGGAAAAAAGAAAAGGAAAUGUAGCUCUCGAGUAUUAUAGACCUUUUCCACAACUUCCAUCUCAUCCCGAGGCCUGCGGAUUCAUUCCUAGG
RNAcentral lists this ribosomal RNA (463 nucleotides) under Saccharomycetales sp. RS. RNAcentral describes it as "LSU rRNA". It matches the Rfam family "Eukaryotic large subunit ribosomal RNA", at positions 90 to 593 of the family's 3401-position model. Lineage: Eukaryota; Fungi; Ascomycota; Saccharomycetes; Saccharomycetales. The record is from RNAcentral.